UUUUUUUUUUUUUUUUUGCAGUACUGGGUAUUGAACUCAGGACCUUGCUCUGGCCAAGUAGGUGUGGGGCCACUGAGCUACAUCCCUGGCCCUCUUCCUUGUUUCUUCUAACAAAAUGCAGCCCAGCUAUGGAAUUCCAAGACAUAAUUCCAUUUUGGCCUCCAGUCACAACCGAGACCUCAAUGAUCCAGUGAUGCUGUGAUUCUCCAGGACAAGAUUACUCCAGCUGAAGGCAUCCUGGGAGGAACAAACAUCUACUCAGUUCCUCAUUGUUCUUGGACUGUUACCAUCUUGUUUACCCGGAUGUACUGAACUCUCUGCAAGUCAUUUGUUACAUCUGUUUCUCCCGAUGUACUGAAUAAAAGGUGCGGUAAGCUGGGGGCUUUCAUCUUUGCCGCCCAGAGCAGCACUGAUCAGAC
Molecule: long non-coding RNA, 419 nt
Filed under: Heterocephalus glaber (naked mole-rat)
Lineage: Eukaryota; Metazoa; Chordata; Mammalia; Rodentia; Bathyergidae
Description: lncRNA (ENSHGLG00000041071.1)
Source: RNAcentral